UGAUGCUACCCGGGUUCGAACCGGAGACCUUUUGCGUGUAAAGCAAACGUGAUAACCACUACACCACAGCACC
RNAcentral lists this transfer RNA (73 nucleotides) under Arabis alpina (gray rockcress). RNAcentral describes it as "tRNA ENSRNAG00050205323". Lineage: Eukaryota; Viridiplantae; Streptophyta; Magnoliopsida; Brassicales; Brassicaceae. The record is from RNAcentral.